CCUACGGGAGGCAGCAGUGGGGAAUAUUGCACAAUGGGGGAAACCCUGAUGCAGCGACGCCGCGUGAGUGAAGAAGUAUUUCGGUAUGUAAAGCUCUAUCAGCAGGGAAGAAAAUGACGGUACCUGACCAAGAAGCCCCGGCUAACUACGUGCCAGCAGCCGCGGUAAUACGUAGGGGGCAAGCGUUAUCCGGAUUUACUGGGUGUAAAGGGAGCGUAGACGGCUGUGCAAGUCAGAAGUGAAAGCCCGGGGCUCAACCCCGGGACUGCUUUUGAAACUGCGUGGCUGGAGUGCAGGAGAGGUAA
RNAcentral lists this ribosomal RNA (305 nucleotides) under uncultured bacterium. RNAcentral describes it as "bacterial SSU rRNA". It matches the Rfam family "Bacterial small subunit ribosomal RNA", at positions 338 to 660 of the family's 1533-position model. The record is from RNAcentral.